Molecule: ribosomal RNA, 253 nt
Filed under: uncultured bacterium
Lineage: Bacteria
Description: partial 16S ribosomal RNA
Rfam family: Bacterial small subunit ribosomal RNA
Source: RNAcentral
GACGGAAGGUGCAAGCGUUGCUCGGAAUCACUGGGCGUAAAGGGUGCGUAGGCGGCCGCGCAAGUCUGGCGUGAAAUCCCGAGGCUCAACCUCGGGUCUGCAGUCGAUACGGGCGGACUGGAGUUCGGCAGGGGAGACUGGAAUUCCUGGUGUAGCGGUGAAAUGCGCAGAUAUCAGGAGGAACACCGGUGGCGAAGGCGGGUCUCUGGGCCGAUACUGACGCUGAGGAGCGAAAGCGUGGGGAGCGAACAGG